This 300-nucleotide ribosomal RNA is filed under the name uncultured Kosmotoga sp. Its description in RNAcentral is "bacterial SSU rRNA". The stretch from base 53 to 300 matches the Rfam family "Bacterial small subunit ribosomal RNA", at positions 548 to 795 of the family's 1533-position model. The record is from RNAcentral. Lineage: Bacteria; Thermotogati; Thermotogota; Thermotogae; Kosmotogales; Kosmotogaceae.
GUGGAUUGGGGGGGGCAGGGCUGGGUAAUAGGAAGGUGGCGGGAGUAGUGCUGAAUGAGUGGGCGGAGAGUGCAGGCAGGCGGUGUGUCAAGUCAGGGGUGAAAGCCCGGAGGUCAACACAGGAACUGCCAUGGAGAAUGUAGAAGUUGAGGAUGAGAGAGGUGAGUGGAAUACCCAGUGUAGAGGGGAAAUGCGUAGAUAUUGAGAAGAACACCGGUGGCGAAGGCGGCUCACUGGCUCAUUUCUGACGCUCAGGCGCGACAGCGUGGGGAUCAAACAGGAUUAGAUACCCGAGUAGUC